UGAGGAAUAUUGGUCAAUGGACGCAAGUCUGAACCAGCCAAGUCGCGUGAAGGAUGAAGGUAUUAUGUAUUGUAAACUUCUUUUAUACGGGAAUAAAAAACGCCACGUGUGGCGUAUUGCAUGUACCGUAUGAAUAAGGAUCGGCUAACUCCGUGCCAGCAGCCGCGGUAAUACGGAGGAUCCGAGCGUUAUCCGGAUUUAUUGGGUUUAAAGGGUGCGUAGGCGGUUUGUUAAGUCAGUGGUGAAAGUUUGCGGCUCAACCGUAAAAUUGCCAUUGAAACUGGCGAACUUGAGUACAGUAGAGGUAGGCGGAAUUCGUGGUGUAGCGGUGAAAUGCUUAGAUAUCACGAAGAACUCCGAUUGCGAAGGCAGCUUACUGGACUGUAACUGACGCUGAGGCACGAAAGCGUGGGGAUCAAACA
This 422-nucleotide ribosomal RNA is filed under the name uncultured Bacteroidales bacterium. RNAcentral describes it as "partial 16S ribosomal RNA". It matches the Rfam family "Bacterial small subunit ribosomal RNA", at positions 355 to 774 of the family's 1533-position model. The record is from RNAcentral. Lineage: Bacteria; Pseudomonadati; Bacteroidota; Bacteroidia; Bacteroidales.